ACUUAAAUAAUUUAAAUAAAAUAUUGAUUUGUGGGGUCAGAGAUAUGGGACACCAUUUUAAGUU
This 64-nucleotide transfer RNA is filed under the name Pieris extensa. RNAcentral's name for it is "tRNA-His". The record is from RNAcentral. Lineage: Eukaryota; Metazoa; Arthropoda; Insecta; Lepidoptera; Pieridae.